RNAcentral lists this ribosomal RNA (201 nucleotides) under Thalassiosira punctigera. Its description in RNAcentral is "partial Bacterial small subunit ribosomal RNA". It matches the Rfam family "Bacterial small subunit ribosomal RNA", at positions 202 to 406 of the family's 1533-position model. Lineage: Eukaryota; Bacillariophyta; Thalassiosirophyceae; Thalassiosirales; Thalassiosiraceae. The record is from RNAcentral.
AAAGGUUUACUGCUUGAGGAUGGGGUUGCGUUCCAUCAGCUAGUUGGCGGGGUAAAGGCCCACCAAGGCAACGACGGAUCGCCGGCCUGAGAGGGUGGCCGGCCACAGGGGCACUGAGACACGGGUCCCACUCCUACGGGAGGCAGCAGUUAGGAAUCUUCCACAAUGGGCGCAAGCCUGAUGGAGCGACGCCGCGUGAGG